GCCCGCUCAGAACUUAAAUGAAUUGACGGGGCCGCACAAGCGGAGGAGCAUGUGGUUUAAUUCGAUGAUACGCGAGGAACCUUACCUGGGCUCGAACGUAAGAUGACUGUAGGUGAAAGCUUACAUCUCUUCGGAGCAUUUUACGAGGUGCUGCAUGGUUGUCGUCAGCUCGUGCCGUGAGGUGUCGGGUUAAGUCCCAUAACGAGCGCAACCCCUACCUUUAGUUGCCAUCAGGUUAAGCUGGGGACUCUAAAGGAACUGCCUACGCAAGUAGUGAGGAAGGCGGGGAUGACGUCAAAUCAGCACGGCCCUUACGUCCAGGGCUACACACGUGCUACAAUGGCCGAUACAGAGGGCAGCUACCUGGUGACAGGAUGCAAAUCUCCAAAGUCGGUCUCAGUUCGGAUCGGAGUCUGCAACCCGACUCCGUGAAGUUGGAUUCGCUAGUAAUCGCGCAUCAGCCAUGGCGCGGUGAAUACGUUCCCGGGCCUU
Molecule: ribosomal RNA, 492 nt
Filed under: uncultured Sphingobacteriales bacterium
Lineage: Bacteria; Pseudomonadati; Bacteroidota; Sphingobacteriia; Sphingobacteriales
Description: bacterial SSU rRNA
Rfam family: Bacterial small subunit ribosomal RNA
Source: RNAcentral